Long non-coding RNA from Onychostoma macrolepis, 574 nucleotides. RefSeq lists it as uncharacterized. The transcript is spliced from 3 exons. The record is from RefSeq and is a predicted model, not a curated record. Lineage: Eukaryota; Metazoa; Chordata; Actinopteri; Cypriniformes; Cyprinidae.
AUUUUAAAUCAGUGCUAUUGGUCAGCGUUAUGUCUGUUUGUGGGGUUUACAAAUAUUAACCAAUGAAAAGCAUUCAAAAGAGCUUGUGACUUAACCUCGUAACGCCAUUGGAUCCUCAAAUUGUCAGUCAAACCUCAUAACUCCACCCCGCCACCAUUCAGAAUGAAGCGCCGCGCAGUUUGAAGCAGACGUCUACUUCUUCACAAUGCAAGGACAGUUCAUGAAGACAGAGAUGUGACAACCUCUGGACUGAAGUCCACCUGCCACAUCAGACUCUCUGCUGUAUAUGGAGGCCUUUAUGUGUGUACUUUUCAUUAUUGUGCAUGCAGACAUUAUUCAGUUUCACAGAUGUUUACGCUGGGUGGCCUGGAAGGACACAUGAUGCUAGGGUACUGGCAAAUUCCGAUAUUUAUUGUCUUGCUGAACAUCGACAGGGUGCUUAUCUUUAUGCAAGAGAGGUGAGAGAAGUGCUUGCAAAAUAGCCUGUGACAAUUUGGGAACUGUUGGCAAGAAUGGAGCACACAUUAUCUGUUUUAAUUAUUUGCUAGAAUAAUUUAUAUUUAAUAUUCAUGCU